GAUGAACGCUGGCGGCGUGCCUAAUACAUGCAAGUCGAGCGAACAGACGAGGAGCUUGCUCCUCUGACGUUAGCGGCGGACGGGUGAGUAACACGUGGAUAACCUACCUAUAAGACUGGGAUAACUUCGGGAAACCGGAGCUAAUACCGGAUAAUAUAUUGAACCGCAUGGUUCAAUAGUGAAAGACGGUUUUGCUGUCACUUAUAGAUGGAUCCGCGCCGCAUUAGCUAGUUGGUAAGGUAACGGCUUACCAAGGCAACGAUGCGUAGCCGACCUGAGAGGGUGAUAGGUCACAAUGGAACUGAGACACGGUCCAGACUCCUACGGGAGGCACCAGUAGGGAAUCUUCCGCAAUGGGCGAAAGCCUGACGGAGCAACGCCGCGUGAGUGAUGAAGGUCUUCGGAUCGGAAAACUCUGUUAUUAGGGAAGAACAAAUGUGUAAGUAACUAUGCACGUCUUGACGGUACCUAAUCAGAAAGCCACGGCUAACUACGUG
Molecule: ribosomal RNA, 497 nt
Filed under: uncultured bacterium
Lineage: Bacteria
Description: partial 16S ribosomal RNA
Rfam family: Bacterial small subunit ribosomal RNA
Source: RNAcentral